This 342-nucleotide ribosomal RNA is filed under the name uncultured archaeon. Its description in RNAcentral is "partial 16S ribosomal RNA". It matches the Rfam family "Archaeal small subunit ribosomal RNA", at positions 133 to 475 of the family's 1478-position model. The record is from RNAcentral.
CGGGAAACUGGGGAUAAUACCGGAUAUAUGGAGAUGCCUGGAAUGGUACUCCACUUAAAGCUCCGGCGCCUAAGGAUGGAUCUGCGGCAGAUUAGGUCGUUGGUGGGGUAAUGGCCCACCAAGCCUAUAAACUGUACGGGUUGUGAGAGCAAGAGCCCGGAGAAGGAACCUGAGAAAAGGUUUCAGGGCCUACCGGGCGCAAGCGGGCGGGAAACCUCCGCAAUGCGAGCAAUCGCGACGGGGGGACCCCAAGUGCCACUCUUAACGGGGUGGCUUUUCUUAAGUGUAAAAAGCUUUUGGAAUAAGGGCUGGGCAAGACCGGUGCCAGCCGCCGCGGUAACA